UUUAAACUGACUGAAUUCUGUAGGCAAACACAAAGACACCGGAUUCUUAAUGUCGUCGCUUUGGUCCAAUUGCAUAAACAUGUGAUGAUCAGCUUCAGAGAAGUCAAAAGGAAAGUAGGAAAACCUCAGCACAACAUAUGCAACAUAACAUCUCAAGUAAACCUAUAGAAGUGACAUUUGAGAAACUUAAAAAAAAAGGAACAAGCUCAUCAGGGGCUUGGGAGCAUUGAUGUGAGGUCUUGACCUUCAGGGAAAUUCUCCGUGUCCUAGAAGUACCUAAAUGGAUGAAUAGAAAGUCACAAUAAGACAGAAGGCGACUAAAAUGUCACACCAAAGCAUGCUAAGAGCCAGUUCUUUUGGGCAAUUCUCCGAGAAUUGACCCCCUCCCCAGCUUCUCCCAGAAUUGCCACUCUAUAUUUUCUUACAAUUCCUAGCUAACUAGAUCUUAACUAGCUAGGAAUUGUAAAAAAAGAUGAAGUGGCAAUUCUAGGAGAAGCUGUGGAGGGGGUCAAUUCUCGGAGAAUUGCCCAAAAGAACUGGCCCUAAGUUGUUGUCCACCAGGUCUUUCACAGAUUGUUAUGUAUUAUAUUUCCUUCCCAUUAGUGUAUAAGGUUGUGCACGAAGGUCACCAAGGUAAGAACAUGCAGAAAUUAAAUCGAAGUUGGUCAGAUACGCAAAUAGCAUCCUAUAUUAGUAAACAGAGGUGCAUACUUCCAUUUAUCAGUAGAUUUCAACUUAUGUUUAUUUUUGUAUAAAGAAUAAUAAAUGUAUAUGUCUAGUAAAAAAACUAUAAAAUCAUGUACUACAUCAGUAAAAUCGAUACGAUCCAACGUAGCACAUGUUGUGAUAAUAUGCACAGCCGGUCGACAUAGAACCUAACUUGUGCUACAUCAUUUAGAUUAAAAAGGACGGGGAAGCUACUACAACUUCCUGUACUGGUCAUCUAAUACAAAUAAACAAUGCAAGAAAAGCCUCUUUUACUUAGACCAUACAUAACAACGAGAGAUGGGAUGGUGACCAUGUAAAAUAAAUUACCGGCAGUGGAGAUCAGCGACAAUCGUGACUCGUCACCAUAAAAGCCAUAAGCCCUCCCACACUCAUCAUACAUAAAUACACAAGAACAUAAGAAAAUAUAUUUUUUAGGAAAAAUGUUCAAAAAUACACAUUUUUUGCUUGUGAUGAUAUACAUGCAGCAGUUAAUGUAUUAUCCAUAAAACAAAGAAUGUAUGCCUCAUAUUAAUCAUCCUUUCACACAUAACUUAACAUGCAGCAAAAGGAUUUAAUCUAUAGUUCAAGAUCAAAAUGAAUGAGUCAUUUACAGUUAGGCAAUUAUUGAUUAUAAUGGAGUGUGAAGACAUCAUAUAUUUACUUGAUGGAAAUUGCAGUCAAGAAAAGCAUAGAAUGAGUCAAGUACCUUCUGGUUUGCCCAAUUUGCUUGUGGUCAUCAAAGGUGUUCUCGAGAUCAAACAACCAAGUAUGAACUCCCAAACUUCUGACCAAAUAGCAGGGUGUACACCUUAAACCACAGAGAAUAGAGAGCCGGCCCGUGUUAGAGAUUUAUAUGAGAGGUAGGCAAAAAAGUAAUGGUCUUAAAAUAAAAUGAGGGAUGUCUCAGAUAUCUUUACCCUUGUCAGAAUCCAGUUUAGAACAUAGGGAAUAUUUAGGGAGCCUUGUUGCAGAAAUAUAGCAUGCCAUUUUCAAUCACCCAAUGUUUUUCAAGCUGAAACUGAAC
RNAcentral lists this long non-coding RNA (1732 nucleotides) under Triticum aestivum (bread wheat). RNAcentral's name for it is "long non-coding RNA (TAES_LNC007978)". The record is from RNAcentral. Lineage: Eukaryota; Viridiplantae; Streptophyta; Magnoliopsida; Poales; Poaceae.